Molecule: long non-coding RNA, 1461 nt
Organism: Mytilus californianus (California mussel)
Lineage: Eukaryota; Metazoa; Mollusca; Bivalvia; Mytilida; Mytilidae
Exons: 2
Source: RefSeq, a predicted model, not a curated record
UAUGCAGUUCUUUGAUAGCCUCUGUUUUUCACUAUUUUUAAGACUCGGUCUAUCUAUAGGCUGACGUAAUGUAUAGUUUACCUGUCUACUGUUGAAGGUCAUUGAAAUCAAAAUGUUUUUUGGUUUAAUGUCGUUGGGUUUCUUUCUCAUUGACGUAUAGCACACAUCUCGUUCUAUUCAUAAGUAUAAACAUCAUAAUCGAAUGACAAAUCCAUGCAUCAACCUCUUUGACGUAUUAUAUUUGCAAAAUGAGUAAAGAUUAAUAAGACAGUGAAAGAUAAGAAAAAGAUUGGUGUUAUUGAACCAGGUGAAAGUCUUUGUGAAUCUUAAUCGUUUAGAUGGAAUAAAUUGAUUGAUAUAUUGAUUGAUUAUUGUUUGCUUUACGUCCAGUGGCAAACAUUGCAUGUAUGUUCAUGACGAGUACACAUUAACAAUAAAUACAAUCAGUAGUUUCUGAAAAGUAGGGGUUGACCUUGGUGAAUGGUGGAAAAUAUUAUCUGCCAUUGGAAAAUAAAGGUAUGUUAAUUCAGAGUAAAUUUAGCGUAGCAAAGGCUACCUACAGACACCUCAGAGUUGUUGGAAGGGUUCAUGAACGCGUAGUGAGCGUAAAACCAUCUCUUUGCGAGGCAUAUGAUUGAACGUCCCCAUUCCGACCAGAUGUGGCUGCGUAUUUAUGCAUUCCACACAUUCAAACGGACACCCAGCUUUAGCAAAUAUUAUAGCGUUGGAAUGGGAGAAGUCCAUCCAGGAAUUAACAUAUUUCUAUACUCCAAGUCAAGCCUUGGAGUAGGUGAAAUAGAAGACUUGGCAACUUAGAUUUUGUAUCGAUUAUAUAGAGCUAAAUAACUUCACCAUAAAUAAACUUAUUUUCGUCAUACAACCGAGGAUUAAAACGAAACCAUGUCGCAGUUCGCCUGGUUUUUCUCCCAUGACAUGACAAACACGGCCUGAGGAAGUUGAAACCUCAGUUUCUUUAUAAUUUCAAAAUUUAUAAACGGACAAUUUCAGGUAUUCCAACGUAGACUAAAUGGCGAAGAAUACUUUCACAGAGGCUGGCGAGAUUAUAAAGCAGGGUUCGGAUCUCUUCAGAGUGAACAUUGGCUUGGAGACUCCCUUAGCAGUCAUAGUGGUAUGAAAUUUGGUACAAAAGACCAGGAUAACGACUCUGAAGAAGGACAAAGUUGUGCUUUAAGUUAUAAAGGCGGGUGGUGGUACGAGAGAUGUCAUUAUUCUAACUUGAACGGAAUUUACCAUGCUGGGAAACAUACAUCCUAUGCUGACGGUGUGAAUUGGAAAACAUGGAAAGGCUACCACUACUCACUGAAGGAGACGACAAUGAUGAUACGACAAUUGCAAUAAAUUCAUUAUUUUGGAAAUGAAAUAAUAGAAAGUUAAAACUAUUUAUUUGGUAUAUGUUAGCACAUUAUUCACACACCUAUUAAUAAAUCCCCUAAAAAAGAA